UGUAGGUCUCAUCGUUUACGUGUUGUUUUUGCUUUUCUUCUUCUAGGAUUUUGUAUUUUUUUCUCAGUAUUUUUAGCAAUAUUGAUAUGCAGUGUUGCGGUACCUCUUCUCAUUGUAUUGACGAUAACUCAAGGCAUGUGAUGAUGUUGUGUAUUUAUAAGUUGCAGGUGAUAUGUCAUCGCAAUAAAAGUUUGUUUCUUUCUUUUACUGAUUUUGCUUUGCAAUUGUUGGUGUUAUAAUCUUGGCAGUGAAGAAUCUUGUGGUUCAUUUUUAGGGUCUUUUUACUUUUUUUUUUUUUGUGUAGUGAUCUUUGCAACUUUGUUUCUUAUUUUUUCCCCGUGGUUCCUAUGAUUUUAAUCCAACUAUAUGUUUUCUGUUGUUAUAAUGUGAUCUAUCAGAUCAUAUAAACUCUAUUAGAAAACCAUGUUUUUUCUCUUUACAAAGGUUUUAUUCUUUUGAUUUUUUCGUUAAUUUUAUAUUUUCGUCGUAACCUCGCACCAAAGAAUUACUUUAUUCUAUGAUGAAACAAGAAUAACAAGGGAAGUCAUGAGAAAGAAACAAGAUAUUGUAAGCAGAAAGAGAAGAGCAAAUGUAUCGAGAAAGAUUUAUGCAGAGAAAAUCAGGUAACUUGGUGUAAUUUUGUUCAUGGGCGAAAUUGAAAGGGAGAGACACGGGUUAUAAGCACAAGAGAAGAAUCUUAUUGUGGGGAUAGAGAAAAGUCCUAAGCAAGGGCAGAUGGUAUGUUUUUCUUCAGUUUGAAGUUUGAAUUACUUAUUGGAUCGUUUUCUUAACAGAAGUUUGAGAUUUGAAUUUUCACAUGAUCCGGUUUGCGUAACCGGCGAAUCUUAGAGAGUUCCUAGCAUGUUGGAAUUUGUAAUUUUUUGGUCUCUUAUAUGAUGAGACAUCUUAUAUUAUUGCUAUGAUUCAGUUUAAUGAGAAGUGUAAUUGAUUGGAAAAUUACGUUAAGAAGUAUUUAAAUGCCAAUCAAAAACACCCCUUUAAAAUUUCAC
Papaver somniferum (opium poppy) is the source of this 1010-nucleotide long non-coding RNA. RefSeq lists it as uncharacterized. The record is from RefSeq and is a predicted model, not a curated record. The transcript is spliced from 3 exons. Lineage: Eukaryota; Viridiplantae; Streptophyta; Magnoliopsida; Ranunculales; Papaveraceae.